This 75-nucleotide transfer RNA is filed under the name Candidatus Curtissbacteria bacterium RIFCSPLOWO2_02_41_11. Its description in RNAcentral is "tRNA-Lys". It matches the Rfam family "tRNA". Rfam says of the family: Transfer RNA (tRNA) molecules are approximately 80 nucleotides in length. Their secondary structure includes four short double-helical elements and three loops (D, anti-codon, and T loops). Further hydrogen bonds mediate the characteristic L-shaped molecular structure. tRNAs have two regions of fundamental functional importance: the anti-codon, which is responsible for specific mRNA codon recognition, and the 3' end, to which the tRNAs corresponding amino acid is attached (by aminoacyl-tRNA synthetases). tRNAs cope with the degeneracy of the genetic code in two manners: having more than one tRNA (with a specific anti-codon) for a particular amino acid; and 'wobble' base-pairing, i.e. permitting non-standard base-pairing at the 3rd anti-codon position. The record is from RNAcentral. Lineage: Bacteria; Candidatus Curtissiibacteriota.
GGCCCGCUAGCUCAACGGUAGAGCAGUUGCCUCUUAAGCAACUGGUUACAGGUUCGAAUCCUGUGCGGGUCACAA